RNAcentral lists this long non-coding RNA (1218 nucleotides) under Pogona vitticeps (central bearded dragon). RNAcentral describes it as "lncRNA (ENSPVIG00000001938.1)". Lineage: Eukaryota; Metazoa; Chordata; Lepidosauria; Squamata; Agamidae. The record is from RNAcentral.
GUGUAAGUUUGUGUGAAUGUUGACUGCCUGCGCCAUCCCUAUCCCAGUCAAUUCAGAAGCCACACUGAUGGCGCUAAAAGCAACAUGCAGCACCCCUGAUGUUGAGUUUCAGUUCCCCGCUAAAAGAGCAGUUGGCCUUUUAUAUGUUGUUGGACUGCAACACGCAGCACCCCUGAUGUUGAGUUUCAGUUCCCUGUUGUAACUUCAGUUCCGAAUCCAAGUCACAUAGGCUUGGAUCUUUGAACAGUAGUUCAAAAGCAUUGGGAAGGGUAUAGGUACCUGAUUUGGAAGUUUUUACAUAAGCUAGCAGAAGAUCUAUGCCUAUCUGUCCUUUUCCCCCCAUAGGGAUGUGAAAAAAGAACAGUAAAAUGUUGGCCCUCAAGCAAGAAAAUCCAGCUGGUACUAACACUCUCACACCCACCUCUGUACUAACAGCCAAUGGCUCUUACCUUGCCAACAUUUUUGCUCCCUUCUUGGAGUUUUUGCUGGUCUACUGGACAUAUGCUCUGUAGAGGACUCAUGGGUGAAGCCUCAGGCCUCUCAGGUGGCUCCUGGCAAGAAGGCACAGAUGCCCAGCACUCGUUUGGGCUGUUCUUCAUGGGAUGUCCAUCACUGGUCUCUUUCUCUCCUUCCAAACUCUGAAGCACUUGGGCAGGGAAUGGAAGCUUGAACUUGGCUACUAACAUAUUAUCUGCUGAUGCUAGAAUAGGUUUUCCACCAGAGUAGGCUGGGCCUUGAACCUUCUCCACAUUUUUCUCUGAGUCACCAUGGCCACUUAAACUUCUCUUGUUCUUCUCCACAUUACUCCAUAUGGCCUGUAGCUCUUCUUCUUCCUCCUCAAACACCUCACGGGCAGGGUGACAAAUUUUUACCACAUCUUGCAACCUUAGUUCCUCUGAAGUCAAGGCAAUUUCUGAGGGUGCUGGAAUGCCUUUCUGGGGGGCUAAUUCACAUUCCAACACAGAUGACUUGGGUGGGCAUUUGAGCCCCAGAUGUACUGAUGAGGGAUGGAAUUUUAGGACAUUUUCUACAGAACAUUUGCUACUUUCUAUCUCUGGUGACUCAUUCACAGAAAUGCCCGUCCUCAAUGUGUGGGAAGUGGCACCAGCAUUACUUGUAUGUUCGGCAGGGGAAGGCUUCAACUUCACCCUGGAUGCCUCCUUCACUUUGGCCUUACUGUCAGCUGGAUUUUUUUGGGUCAUCUGGGUCCUAUCCUGA